RNAcentral lists this ribosomal RNA (430 nucleotides) under uncultured Glutamicibacter sp. RNAcentral describes it as "bacterial SSU rRNA". It matches the Rfam family "Bacterial small subunit ribosomal RNA", at positions 354 to 796 of the family's 1533-position model. The record is from RNAcentral. Lineage: Bacteria; Bacillati; Actinomycetota; Actinomycetes; Micrococcales; Micrococcaceae.
GUGGGGAAUAUUGCACAAUGGGCGCAAGCCUGAUGCAGCGACGCCGCGUGAGGGAUGACGGCCUUCGGGUUGUAAACCUCUUUCAGUAGGGAAGAAGCGAGAGUGACGGUACCUGCAGAAGAAGCGCCGGCUAACUACGUGCCAGCAGCCGCGGUAAUACGUAGGGCGCAAGCGUUAUCCGGAUUUAUUGGGCGUAAAGAGCUCGUAGGCGGUUUGUCGCGUCUAUCGUGAAAGUCCGAGGCUCAACCUCGGAUCUGCGGUGGGUACGGGCAGACUAGAGUGAUGUAGGGGAGACUGGAAUUCCUGGUGUAGCGGUGAAAUGCGCAGAUAUCAGGAGGAACACCGAUGGCGAAGGCAGGUCUCUGGGCAUUUACUGACGCUGAGGAGCGAAAGCAUGGGGAGCGAACAGGAUUAGAAACCCCUGUAGUCC